GACGAACGCUGGCGGCGUGCUUAACACAUGCAAGUCGAACGGAAAGGCCCUGCUUGCAGGGUACUCGAGUGGCGAACGGGUGAGUGACACGUGGGUGAUCUGCCCUGCACUUCGGGAUAAGCCUGGGAAACUGGGUCUAAUACCGGAUAGGAGCCAUUUUUAGUGUGAUGGUUGGAAAGUUUUUUCGGUGUAGGAUGAGCUCGCGGCCUAUCAGCUUGUUGGUGGGGUAAUGGCCUACCAAGGCGGCGACGGGUAGCCGGCCUGAGAGGGUGGACGGCCACAUUGGGACUGAGAUACGGCCCAGACUCCUACGGGAGGCAGCAGUGGGGAAUAUUGCACAAUGGGCGCAAGCCUGAUGCAGCGACGCCGCGUGGGGGAUGACGGCCUUCGGGUUGUAAACUCCUUUCGCUAGGGACGAAGCUGUUUGUGACGGUACCUAGAUAAGAAGCACCGGCUAACUACGUG
Molecule: ribosomal RNA, 465 nt
Filed under: uncultured bacterium
Lineage: Bacteria
Description: partial 16S ribosomal RNA
Rfam family: Bacterial small subunit ribosomal RNA
Source: RNAcentral